Molecule: ribosomal RNA, 1392 nt
Filed under: metagenome
Description: bacterial LSU rRNA
Rfam family: Bacterial large subunit ribosomal RNA
Source: RNAcentral
CCAGAAGGUUAAUAUUCCUUCACCUGCUAUGCAUUAAAAGUGACGCAGGGACGUGGUGGUUGCGUACGGACGGAAGUGUACGCCUGAGUGGAGUCUUCGGACGAAGCGAAAUCAAAAAAUCCCUGCCAAGAAAAGCGAGCAUAGCAGCCAGUACCGGAAUCCGACACAGGUAGACGGGAUGAGUAUUCUAACGCGCUCGGGUGAGCCGUGGAGAAGGAACUAGGCAAAUUAACGCUGUAACUUCGGGAUAAAGCGUACCGCAGCGAUGCGGUCACAGUAAAAUGGUUCAACCAACUGUUUAACAAAAACACAGGGCCCUGCAAAAACGAAAGUUGACGUAUAGAGCCUGAAACCUGCCCGGUGCUGGAAGGUUAAGGAAGGAUGUUCGGCGCAAGCCAAAGCUUCUGACUGAAGCCCCAGUAAACGGCGGCCGUAACUAUAACGGUCCUAAGGUAGCGAAAUUCCUUGUCGGGUAAGUUCCGACCUGCACGAAUGGUCUAAUGAGUUGAACACUGUCUCCUCCACGAGCCCGGUGAAAUUGUAGUAUCGGUGAAGAUGCCGGUUACCCGCCACGGGACGGAAAGACCCCGUGAACCUUCACUACAACUUUGCAUUGAUUUUGAGCCACAAAUGUGUAGGAUAGUUGGGAGACUUUGAAGCAGCAUCGCUAGGUGUUGUGGAGUCAACGUUGAAAUACCAACCUUUUGUUGCUUAGAACCUAACCCCUAACCGGGGACAGUGCAUGGUGGGUAGUUUGACUGGGUGGUCGCCUCCUAAAAAGUAACGGAGGCUCGCAAAGGUACCCUCAGUACGGUUGGUAAUCGUACGAAGAGCGCAUUAGUAAAAGGGUGCUUGACUGUGAGACAAACACGUCGAGCAGGAGCGAAAGCUGGCUAAAGUGAUCCGGUGUUUCUGUAUGGAAGGGACAUCGCUCAAAGGAUAAAAGGUACUCCGGGAUAACAGGCUGAUCUUACCCAAGAGCUCAUAUCGACGGUAAGGUUUGGCACCUCGAUGUCGGUUCGUCACAUCCUGGGGCUGGAGAAGGUCCCAAGGGUUCGGCUGUUCGCCGAUUAAAGUGGCACGUGAACUGGGUUCAGAACGUCGCAAGACAGUUCGGUCCCUAUCUGUGGUGGGCGCUAGUAAAUUGAGUGGACAUGACCUUAGUACGAGAGGACCGGGUCGUACGUGCCGCUGGUGUAUCUGUUAUGCCGCCAGGUGUAAUGCAGAGUAGCUAUGCACGGCAAGCAUAAACGCUGAAAGCAUCUAAGCGUGAAACCUUCCACAAGACGAGUUUACUUUUAAGGGUCGUCAAAGACUAUGACGUUGAUAGGCUAUAGGUGUAAAACUGGUAACAGUAAAGCCAAGUAGUACUAAUUGCCCGUAAGCUUUAUU